CCUACGGGUGGCUGCAGUGAGGAAUAUUGGUCAAUGGACGAGAGUCUGAACCAGCCAAGUAGCGUGAAGGAUGACUGCCCUAUGGGUUGUAAACUUCUUUUAUAUGGGAAUAAAAUGUUCCACGUGUGGGAUUUCGUAUGUACCAUAUGAAUAAGGAUCGGCUAACUCCGUGCCAGCAGCCGCGGUAAUACGGAGGAUCCGAGCGUUAUCCGGAUUUAUUGGGUUUAAAGGGAGCGUAGGCGGAUUGUUAAGUCAGUUGUUAAAGUUUGCGGCUCAACCGUAAAAUUGCAGUUGAAACUGGGAGUCUUGAGUACAGUAGAGGUAGGCGGAAUUCGUGGUGUAGCGGUGAAAUGCUUAGAUAUCACGAAGAACUCCGAUUGCGAAGGCAGCGCACUGGACUGCAACUGACACUGAGGCUCGAAAGUGUGGGUAUCAAACAGGAUUAGAUACCCUAGUAGUC
Molecule: ribosomal RNA, 460 nt
Filed under: uncultured bacterium
Lineage: Bacteria
Description: partial 16S ribosomal RNA
Rfam family: Bacterial small subunit ribosomal RNA
Source: RNAcentral